This 77-nucleotide transfer RNA is filed under the name Gallinago gallinago (common snipe). Its description in RNAcentral is "tRNA-Glu". Lineage: Eukaryota; Metazoa; Chordata; Aves; Charadriiformes; Scolopacidae. The record is from RNAcentral. RNAcentral also lists the same sequence under 2 other names.
CAGGUUCCUAUAGUUGAGGUUUCAUACAACAGUGGUUUUUCAAGCCGCAGGCCUUGGAGAAAAGCCAAGUAGGAAUG